This 406-nucleotide ribosomal RNA is filed under the name uncultured bacterium. Its description in RNAcentral is "partial 16S ribosomal RNA". It matches the Rfam family "Bacterial small subunit ribosomal RNA", at positions 28 to 525 of the family's 1533-position model. The record is from RNAcentral.
GACGAACGCUGGCGGCGUGCCUAAUACAUGCAAGUAGAACGCAGUUGCGAACGGGUGAGUACCGCGUAGGUAACUGCCUCAUAGCGGGGGUUAACUAUUGGAAACGCUUGCUAAUACCGCAUAUUUGGAGUUGGACCUGCGUUGUAUUAGCUAGUUGGUGAGGUAAAUGCUAACCAAGGCGCCGAUGCAUAGCCGACCUGAGAGGGUGAUCGGCCACACUGGGAAUGAGACACGGCCCAGAAUCCUACGGGAGGCAGCAGUAGGGAAGCUUCGGCAAUGGACGGAAGUCUGACCGAGCAACGCCGCGUGAGUGAAGAAGGUUUUCGGAUCGUAAAGCUCUGUUGUUAGAGAAGCGGUAACUAACAAGAAAGGGACGGCUAACUACGUGCCAGCAGCCGCGGUAAUU